Non-coding RNA from Danio rerio (zebrafish), 2739 nucleotides. NCBI's taxonomy places the organism in Eukaryota, Metazoa, Chordata, Actinopteri, Cypriniformes, Danionidae. The record is from RefSeq and is a predicted model, not a curated record.
UUUUUUACAGUGUAGGUGCCCUUUAAACCAUCAGAUGAAAAGUGCUACAGUUGAUUGACUGCAUUUAAAGGGCGCUUUAAAGCCCCGCCUCUGGCUUGUGAUGACGCCCUGUCAAUCAAACUGUUAUUGUUGGUUGCUUCAAUUUGUUUGAUGGUCUAAUUCGACAACAAGGUAACGGACUAUCAUUAUUCACUCAUAUGGCCACAUAAUGAAUAAUCAUUAGACAUCAAGACAUUCCACUUGUACAUUAAUUAGUAUAUAUAUAUAUAUUUUUCUUUUUUAUUAAUUCAUCUUUGUGAGGUUUAUCAUAGAUGUGAUUUUUUUAUAUGAAUAUAUUGCAUGCCACACACACACACACACACACACACACACACACACAUACACAAUGUAUUGUCACGACCCGGCUCAAAGUCAAUGACAAAAUUAAAGGGAGGACAUACACCAGAUGGUUUGGUACCAAAAAGUAUUUAUUUAAACAUUAAAGAAUCAUCAAGUGCUCACUUUAGGUCAGCCAAAUCAAAUAUUAACCAAAGCUAAAAAGAAACAAAACAAAACAAACAAACGGGAGCAAAAGCACGGCUCCUCACAAGCCAACUCUGCUGGCUUUUAUAGAGGGGAACUCAGGUGUUCCCAAUUGAGCAGAUGAGUCUCUGUCUUUCCCGCUUUCGGCCGAUCAGUGGGUUGGUCAAAGAGACUCGUCACCCCCCCCUAAAAAGAAAAAGACAAAGUCUUUCAACAUAACAUCAAACCCCACAAUCCCCCUAAACCUCAGUAUGAAGGUCAAACUGGUUCUCCAUCCUCAGCCUUAGCUCACCAGCUCCUCCCAGCAACCAUGGUGCCUAGGAAGCAAUUUAAGAGAGAAAAACAUACCUUAAUACACAACCUUAAAUACGAGAUUAAGCACCAGCUCUAUUGUUUUGAGAGCCUUUAAUGUGGCAAAUAUCCAGCAGGUAACCCUGCAAGAACAACCACCACCUCAAAAUCGACCUCUGACUGGGGUUUUGUAGUGGAUGGAAAAAGCUAAGGAUUGUGGCCCGUGAAAUGCCCCAGACAUCCCAAAGAAGAUUCCACAUAAACUCCAAGGUGCUGCCAAAGUCAAUUUUCAACACGUUGUCAACCUCACCCUCAUAUUGCUUCUUCCUAUUUGUUAAAACUCUACAAUACAAUGAUAGCCUUCGAAUUGGAAUUGAAUCUCCCACAUCGACAUCAUGCUCCAUCAGAUUUGUGCAAAACAGAUUAUCAGAAAACAGAGCAACAUACUCAUGAAUCAAAUCAAUCAAGUCAGUGCAAUGUACAUGUGAUAAGUGACUAAGAUAAUUGAUCAAAGUACCACGUAUACAACCUGGAAGAACUAAAUCUCCAGCAUCCUCGUCCAACAACACUGAAGUUGGUAAACGCUCUGUAUUGGAUGAAUCCGAAAACUUAGCCUGAAAAGGUGAACAAAUUACAACAAACAGAGCAAGAACUCGAUCACCUGACUGAAAUGAACACUUCAGUAUGUCGACCAAAAAGUCGCCCCAUUCGAUCCCUUGCUUCCCUCCAAGAGCCCUUCGCCAGUUGACAUGCUUCAGACAUUGAGAUGAAAAUCAUUCACAUAUGAUAAACAUUUUUUGGUGGAUCAGUUUGUUUCCUGUCCAUUUGUGUGCAGUAUGACCUCAGCAUAGACCUCAAUGUUUGAUAAAUCUUUCCAGGGCUCCCUGGCUCUGAGGAUGAAAAGCACUGGAAAGAUUAUGUUGAACAUGGAGUGAUUUCAAAACUUCACCAAACUAGUUGAAGUAAAAUGACUCCCCUGAUUAGAUUGAAUAAUUCGGGGUAUUCUAAACACAAACAUGAACCGAGUCAAGGCUUUUACAUCUGCAGUAGUAGAACGCAAUGGGUAUGCAGCCGGAUACCUGGUCACCAGACACACAACUGCAGGCAAGCGCUCACCCUCUGCUUUCAACCUAGGCAAUGGCCCUACACAACCAAUCAAAAGAUGUUCAGAUGGUUGACGAAUAGCAGGAAUUGGUACAAAGGAGCAGGUUUAGCAGAUUGAUUUGGCUUUCCAGUUAACUGACACGUCUGACAUGUACUUAGAUAUGUCACUUUAUUUUUGGCCAAAAAAAAAAAAGUUUCAAAAGCAAUUGUUAUUUUUUCACUCCUAAAUGUCCAGACGCGUCAUGUGCAGUUUGCAGAACAACUUGGCGAAGAGACUGGGGUACUAUAACUUGAAACAUAGGAUCACCAAUCACAAACUCCCCAUGGGGCACCCACUUUCAACACGAUACACCACCAUUAAGACCAUGUCAUUAAGAACCACUCGAUCAAACAACUCAAUUGUUCCCAAUUGAGCAGACAGCCACAGAAGCCUGAGAGAAGCAGCAGAUGCCUUCACAAAAACAGACAUUCCUGCUGCGCAGACCAAGCUGGCUGCUCUAAAGCUGAUCAUCGCAGACCAGAAGCGAAGAAGUUGAGCUGAAUGGCCUCCUGGAGCCAUUUUGACCUGAGCAAUCAGAUCCCAUGGAGAGGGUGAAUCAAAGGCAGCAUAUGUGGAGUGGAGAGAACUGAGGGACAGGCAUGUAAGGAACAGUGAGGCUGAAGUGCAGGAGUGCCACCUAUGACCACCUAUUCAGUUUUUCCUUAACUGCAUGAUGCAUCAUCUGAUAGUUAAAGAUGUACUUCUCUGAUGAAGAGAUGGACCUUUCCCUGGAGGAAACAGUUGAAGUCAAACUCAAGACAUUGGAAACCUUUGCCGUCGAG